AGAACGAACGCUGGCGGCAUGCCUAAUACAUGCAAGUCGAACGAGACCUUCGGGUCUAGUGGCGCACGGGUGCGUAACGCGUGGGAAUCUACCCUUGGGUUCGGAAUAACAGUUGGAAACGACUGCUAAUACCGGAUGAUGACGAAAGUCCAAAGAUUUAUCGCCCAGGGAUGACGCCCGCGUAGGAUUAGCUAGUUGGUGAGGUAAAGGCUACACCAAGGCUACGAUCCUUAGCUGGUCUGAGAGGAUGAUCAGCCACACGUGGGACUGAGACACGGCCCAGACUCCGUACGGGAGCAG
Molecule: ribosomal RNA, 300 nt
Filed under: uncultured soil bacterium
Lineage: Bacteria
Description: bacterial SSU rRNA
Rfam family: Bacterial small subunit ribosomal RNA
Source: RNAcentral